Long non-coding RNA from Acinonyx jubatus (cheetah), 2842 nucleotides. RefSeq lists it as uncharacterized. The transcript is spliced from 3 exons. The record is from RefSeq and is a predicted model, not a curated record. NCBI's taxonomy places the organism in Eukaryota, Metazoa, Chordata, Mammalia, Carnivora, Felidae.
ACAGGUGCAGGAAGGGGAUUGCUGUGUAUUGAACACUUCCCAUUUACUAGAUAUUUUGUGUAUAUUAUUUUAUUUAAUCCUCACCAAAAAAUGUAGUUUCAGGGAACAUAAAGUGAGGGGAAGCUAAGGGAAUUGAAGUUGACAUUGGCAGUCAGUGGCGGCCGUGCUGUGAAAGGUCUUGAAUUUGGCUGAGUGAAAGCACAAAUGAAGUAUUAGUUUGCUCCAGCUGCUGUAACAAAGAACCAGGAAGUAGGUGACUUAAACAACAGAACGUAUUAUUGCCUCACAGUUCUGGAGGCUAGAAGUGCAAGAUCAAGGUGUCAGCAGGGGCUGGUUCCUUCUCAGGGCAGUGAGAAUCUGUUCCAUGCCUCUCUCCUAGCAUGUGGUGGUUCAUGAGAUGCAUAACCCUGGCUUCUGCCUGUAUCUUCUCAUAUCAUUUUCCCCGUGUGUGUGUGUGUGUGUGUCUCUGGGUCCAAAUUUCCCCCUUUUAUAAGGACACAGUCAUGCUGGAUUAGGGACCCACUAUUCUCGAGUAUGACCUCUUCUAAAUGUAACUGAUUACAUCUGCUCUGACCCUAUUUCCAAAUGAGGUCACAUUCUGAGAUACUGAGGGUUAAGGCUUCAACAUCUGAAUUCUUUUUUAAUUUUUCUAAAUGUUUUUAUUUAUUUUUGAAGGAGAGAGAGAGAGAGAGAGAGACAGCAUGAGCAGGGGAGGAGCAGAGAGAGAGAGACACAGAAUCCGAAGCAGGCUCCAGGCUCCGAGCUGUCAGCACAGAGCCCGAUGCGGGGCUCGAACCCACGAACUGUGAGAUCAUGACCUGAGCCGAAGCUGGACGCUCAGCCGACUGAGCCACCCAGUGCCCCUUCAACAUCUGAAUUUUGGAGGAGGGCACAAUUUCACCUGUGACUAUAGAUAAGUGGAAUCUUGAGAAAAGUCAGGUUAAGUAAGACUAAACAGAUUUUUUUUUCUUUAAGGCCUCUGUGGAGGUUUUACAACUUAGCUGCAAAAUUUCUCACACCCUUCCUGUUGAGAGGUGGGGACUUUGUCCCUUCCCCUGGAAUCUGAGAGCUACAGAGUAUGGUGGAAGUGACUUUGUGUGACAUCCUAGGCUACAUCAUAAAAGAACAUAUACCACUUCAACCUUGUUUCCUGGAACAUGGAACCACCCUGUUCUGAGAGGCACAGGUAUACUCCCUGGCCAGUAUUCCCAGCUGAGCCCACCCUUCUGGGUGUCCUGCCAAAGUGCCAGACAGCUUCCAUGUUGAGUUAUUCCAUGGAGAGGCCCAAGGAAUGAAGAGUGUGGCCUCUGGCCAACAGCCUCCAACAACUAUGUGAGUGAGCUUGAAAGUGGAUCCUUCUAUAGUCUAGUCUUCAGAUGAGAUCACAGCCCAACUGAUACCUUGACUGCAAUCUGAGCACAGCAGAAGUGACGCCAUGCCUUUCCCAUGCCUGGGCUCAAGAGACCCUGCACAAUAAUGUUGGCCAUUCUCUUAGGACCCGCUCCAUGUACAAACCCGUGGGUAGGAUGAGAGGUCGUGUGGAGAAAUACUGAGUCAGCACAGUUGCCCCAGGCAAGCGAGGCAGCCCAACCAAGAACAGCAAAAUGCCACCUACCUGACCACGGGGACAUAUAUGAACUCAGCCAUACUCAGCUCAGAUGACUGGAAGUGCCCAGCUGACCCACUGACAUGUGAUUAAAAAUUGUCAUGAUAUGCCACUGAGGUUUCGUGGCUGUUUGUUAUGUGGCAUUACGGUGGUGGCAUUAUAGCUGAUACAGUUGUACUGGGUUGGCUAAUGAGGGUGUCGUGUUGGGGAAGGAUCCCCUCAAGUACUAGGUGACAAAGCUGACUGCCAGCUGGCCUUGUCAUCCUCUCUCCCAGAGGAAGAGUGUUUUCUUUCCCUAGACAUACGCAGCUCCGGCCCGGAAAGAUUCCUCCUGGGCUUGUCAAAACUUUCCAGAACACGGUACUGCAAACAGGCCUUCCUUUGGCAGCUUGUUAGGAUAAUUGAAAUGUGGGUGGAAGCUCAUUAAGCUUCCCCUUCGUCAACAUUCUUCCUUCCAGGCCCAGGGAAGCUGCGAGUUCUGUCACAUCCCAUUAGCACCGUGUCUGGGUGGUUUCCACACCUUUCCAGGCAAAUCAAACACACGGGGUCCACAUUCAAGGGAAAAUACAUUUAUUGCCACAGAGAGGGGUAUGUUUAUGGAGAUUUAAAAAUACAUCUGGCUUGGAUGGAUCAUGAGAAAGAGAGUGAAAAUACCUAAAAAAUGCUUGGGAGGCACAAGGAUUGCAGGUUGCUCUUGUACAUAUUAAAAACCUGACGUCUGAAGUCUCUUCUGGACAUCCCUAAGUCCCCUUCUAGCCUCAUCUCCUGUUGGGCCCCUACAAAACCCUAUUUUAUUAAAAAGGAUUUCAGAGGCAAAGAUAUGUGUGUUUACAUCCUGACUGGGCCAUGGUAGUAAUAGUAACGAUGAUGUUAACUUUAAUUGAGCAAGUUUUAUUUGCCAGGCUCUGUGCUAAAAGUUUUAUACAAAUAAUUUCAUUUAAUCCAGGACAGGAAGCUCCCUGAGGUCAGAGGCGAUGCCCAGUUUGUUCUCCUGAGUAUCAAGCAUGUAACAUGAUUCUUGAUAUUAGAUGUUCAAUAAUGUUGAGCAAACAAAUGAAUGAAUGACAGUGCUGUGGGGUAGAGGUAAUUACUCCCAUCUCUAAAAGAUAAAGAGGCUGAAGGAUCCAUAACUGACCCAAGCUCUCAUAUCUAGUAAGUGGUGGAGGGACCUUAGGCAGGAAGGCUCCUUUCUUCUUUGUUUUGAAUGUUUAUUCAUUUUUAAGAGAGAAAGCAUGA